This is a long non-coding RNA of Sardina pilchardus (European sardine), 1119 nucleotides long. RefSeq lists it as uncharacterized. The transcript is spliced from 3 exons. NCBI's taxonomy places the organism in Eukaryota, Metazoa, Chordata, Actinopteri, Clupeiformes, Clupeidae. The record is from RefSeq and is a predicted model, not a curated record.
UUCCCCCCGAAGCCACGCCUCCAGAGUACAGGAACGCGCAAUGCUUGUUCACGAGCAGGAAAGUGCACGAGCUCUGUUCUGGUUCACGAGCACGAAGGUGCACGAGCGCUGUUCUGACCUGUCCAUGGUUCUGAAAGCAAGCAUCGAUUGGCUUUGGCUAACUUUUGCUAACUUUUUCUCAUGGCGGAUUCACAGAGCUCCCAUGAUGAGAGCCUCGCUGGCUCUGAUUGUGAUUACACGCCGCCGGAGCCAUCCACAUCCAGAGGGCAACGUCAGCGACAGGUGAGAGGAGCACGGGGGGGGCUGAGGAGGAGGCAGAGGCAAGGCACGCGGAGAUCUGACAGGGGGUCUAGAGUUGAAGAGUUGAAGAGCUACAAGCCCAAAGGAUGGCAAGAGAGGAGGCCAGGAUUGAAACACUAAGUCUAGAACAGAGCCUUCAGCUGCUACGGCUCAGCCUGAGACGUGACCCCAGUCAGAUGUUUGAUCUGCUAGACCAAACAUUUGGUACCCCUCCACCAGGCCUCCCAGUUCCAGGCCAACCCACCUGGUGUGUCUGCUCAAACUGCUGGGAAAUGCCCACUGAUCUAGAGAGAAAAUGCUGUGGACAACAUCCAGAUUCAUGCAUCUCAAUGCUGCCACACCUAUUUAUUUUGUCGGAGGGGGUUCUUCGCCUUGCUAGAAGAAUCUGGAACGAUGUCCGGGCAGUUACGCAGCAUACAGACAGUAUGUUGUGUGGCAGUAUGGCGCACUUGGUCAUGGUCGGCGUGUCGUCAUACCCAGUUGCUGCGUUUGGAGGAUUCGGCAGUGUUUUCCAGAUCCACUUGGGCAAUAUAAAGGGUUUGUCCCGAGUAGAGUUUAGUAAAUCUGGUAGCUAUGUACAUAGUUAGCUUUAUUUAUUUCAUUUAUGCACGUCUCAGUUUUGUUCUGCACCCUGUUUGACUUUGUUUGGUCAUCGUUCUUAAAUCAUCAAUGCAUAGGCAAUAAAUCUCUGUUUAUUUCAAAGAACUAUCUGAUUGUGUUCUUCUGAACAUACAUUUUACCUUGCCAUCCCUGCUCAUUCAUUAGAAAUGAUCAAAAAAGCCAAACAACCAAAAUUGUGUUAACAACUGUUUAUUGAGA